UUGUGUCUGUCUGAUUUUUCAGACCAUCUUUAUUCCAUCUUCUCUCUUUCCCUGCAUAGUCUUUUCUGCAGGACAAAGCUAUAAUAUCCUCCAAGCAAAGAUUUUAAGAUAGUUGUUCCAGGCAUGAAACAAUGAAGCAGCAGGGGAGUAAGAGUGGAGGUAAUACUCUUAAUUUGGGCUUUCGCUGACUCCCUCUCCAGCUCUCUCAUUAAAGUUGCCUAGGACAAAGUACCUAGGCGAGAGACUCUAUAGUGGACCCUUCAGAGCAAGCAGAUCUCCUGGACUUUUGAUUAUCUUUGGCAUGAAAAAUACAACAGCAGAGGAAACACAUCAGCACAAAAGCCUGCAGUCCGGCAGCUACAUUUUCUCUGUGGCAGCAGAUUCUCAGUGUCUUCCAAGAAGGCGCAACAUGCUGCAUGCCCAGUGAGUUGGAUUUAGUAGCAAAAGAGGUCGGAGUUCUCCGGAAUGACAAAGAGACCAGAGCAUGUCCCACUGGAUUCAAGUGCAGAUACAUAGCUGUAGACUGAUCGAGCACCGAACCUAUGCUUUUGCCUUUGCUCCUCUCUGUGUAGCGAUGCCUGUCAACAUCCACCAGAGAGCAGAGCAGCUCUGAAGACCCGGACCUUUUAUGCUUUGGAAAUCAAUGGAGACAGCUACACAGCCAGUUCUCGGCCAAACAACAUGGAUUGCAGUUCAUUUCAAAGGAGCCUUUGGACACCAAGGAAGAAAGAAGUGGAACAUGACUACUUCUGAAAGGUGAAAUGGGUGGUAUAUCAGACAGCUUAUUAAAGAGACAAGCUUGCUGCUUUCCCAAAGUGAGAUGACAGAACCAGUCAUGAUCUUGUAUGGAAGGAAAAUGAGAUCCCUAGUGAAGUCUACAGUGUGAUUGACUCUGAAGAAAGACUCUGAGACCCAUUGGUGCUUAAUGACCCUUAUUGGCCUGUUCAAUGGGAACUGGCACACACACAAGUGAACUCCCAAGAUAUGACAAGAUCCCAAUUCAAUGACAAACCAUUAAGAAAGGAAAUGAAAGUUCAGAAGAUUUGGAGGAAUUCUAUGAUUCUGUUGUGAAAAAGAAAAAGCCAAGGAAAGAAAAUAUAAUAUAUUUUCAUUGGGCAAUUAAGAAUUAAUGUGGUACAUUAGCCACAGACAAAAAGGGAGAUUUGUGGAAACAAGGCCGAAAAACGGGGUGAGAGGAAUAGAAUGGGGUAUCCUGAAAGAAGAACAUGGAACAGGUGAAGACUAUGCUGCACCAUUUUGUUGUAGCGCUCCUUGUACCAUUAAAACACUGAUGCAGAAGAUGAAUAUGGUAGCAAAAAUAGCAUAAACUCAUAACUUUAUUGACGAUGCUGGUCAUCCUGUAUACACCCCUGAAACUGUUGUUCCAUUUGUAAUUAUGUCAGUUUUGGGGAUGAUAAAGGUUUUCAAAAUACUGGCACCAUUGUGCAUUCUUGCAUGGUUCCCAACAUUUUCCUGGCUUAUAUAAAAUAAUGUUUUUAUCCCAGUUCCUGUUCUCAAAAGCCCUCCUGAUGGUAUAUUUAUUAUCUGACUCAAAAAAGAGGCUUUUUGAGAAUUCCACGUGGUCUUCACUAACUUUCAUCCUACCAUCAGCUUUAUUCUAGACCACAGCAUGACCUCUUUCUAGACACUACUGCAUAGUUAAUAAUGGAGAUAUGACCACAACCUUAGUGCAGAUAGUUCGGACGCUAAAAUUAGUUCAGAGGACGGCAGAUAGGUCGUUAACUGGGGUGCUGUAUUGUGAGAGGACAACUCCCAUGUUGUGACAACUUCACUGGCUGCUGGUCUGCUUCUGAGCUAAAUACAUACAAAGUGCUGGUCAUUACCUAUAAAGCCCUAAAUGGUUCAGGUCCAGGCUAUUUGUCUAAUUGCAUCUCUCUAUUCAGACCAUCCCAGGCACUGCGGUCUGCGGAGGAGGCCCUGCUCUCAAUCCCACCCCCGUCACUAGCGCGGCUGGUGGGAAUGAGAGAAGGGUCUUCUCCAUGAUCACUUCCCACCUCUCGAACUCGCUACUGAAAUAAAUAAAAACGGCUCCCACCUUCCUCUCUUUUAAAAAGCUACUAAAAUCACACCUUUACACUUUGGCAUACAGGGAGGAGGAUGAUUAGAGCAUUUUAGUAAUGCCAUUGAAAAGCAGGUUGUCCUAUCUGUACUUCAUGGUCAUUAUGAUACAGUUAAGAACAACUACCAGCCAAAUGCUUACCCAAUUUUAAUUGUGCUAUGUUAGAUGUUUUAUUGUUGACCAUGCUUUUAAAUGUACUUGUUUAGUGAUUAGUUGUUCUAUGUUUUUAUUUUGAUAUUUAAUUUCAUUUGAUUAGUACAAUGCUGUUAUUACUCCAUAUUGUGUUUAUUGCUGUAAUGUUUUGGUAUAUGCCAGGCAUUGAAUAUAUUAUUAUUAUUAUUAU
Long non-coding RNA from Anolis sagrei ordinatus, 2423 nucleotides. RefSeq lists it as uncharacterized. The record is from RefSeq and is a predicted model, not a curated record. NCBI's taxonomy places the organism in Eukaryota, Metazoa, Chordata, Lepidosauria, Squamata, Anolidae.